UAUCAUAUGCUUGUCUCAAAGAUUAAGCCAUGCAUGUCUAAGUACAAACUAUAUUAAAGUGAAACCGCGAAAGGCUCAUUAAAUCAGUUAUGGUUCAUUAGAUCGUACCACAUAUAUACUUGGAUAACUGUGGUAAUUCUAGAGCUAAUACAUGCAAACAGAGCUCUGACCGGAGACGGAAAGAGUGCUUUUAUUAUAUCAAAACCAAUCGGUAGCGAACAAUGCGUUUUGCGACAAUUUGUUCGUUUGCCGUAUAAAUUAUAAAUGGUGAAUCUGAAUAACUUUAUGCUGAUCGCAUGGUCUUGUACCGGCGACAUAUCUUUCAAAUGUCUGCCUUAUCAACUGUCGAUGGUAGGUUCUGCGCCUACCAUGGUUGUAACGGGUAACGGGGAAUCAGGUUCGAUUCCGGAGAGGGAGCCUGAGAAACGGCUACCACAUCCAAGGAAGGCAGCAGGCGCGCAAAUUACCCACUCCCGGCACGGGGAGGUAGUGACGAAAAAUAACGAUACGGGACUCAUCCGAGGCCCCGUAAUCGGAAUGAGUACACUUUAAAUCCUUUAACAAGGAUCAAUUGGAGGGCAAGUCUGGUGCCAGCAGCCGCGGUAAUUCCAGCUCCAAUAGCGUAUAUUAAAGUUGUUGCGGUUAAAAAGCUCGUAGUUGAAUUUGUGUCUCACACUGUUGGUUCACCGCCCGCGGUGUUAACUGGCAUGUUUUGUGAGACGUCCUGCCGGUGGAUGUGUUCUUGUUUUGGGGUUAUUAUGAUUGUAUUUUUAUUUAUGUUUUAUUCUCAUAUGCCUUUCUAAUUAUACAUCUACACGGAUAUUUCAUCUUUAAUUAGUUGUCUAUAUCGGUGUUUUGUAUAUUUUAGACGAGUGUCAUAUGAGGGCAUUUAUAAUAUACAUGAUGAUUUCUUUGAAACAACCAUCCGUAUAUAUGUUAUUCUUCUUUCGAGUUGAAUUUAUACAUAUAUAAUCCUAUCGCAGUGCUCUUAAUUGAAUGUUGAGAUAGGCCGGCACGUUUACUUUGAACAAAUUAGAGUGCUCAAAGCAGGCUUAUAUAUGCCUGAAUAAUUAGUGCAUGGAAUAAUAAAACAGGACCUCGGUUCUAUUUUGUUGGUUUUUCUAUUAGAACAUACGAGGUAAUGAUUAAUAGGGACAGAUGGGGGCAUUCGUAUUGCGACGUUAGAGGUGAAAUUCUUGGAUCGUCGCAAGACGGACUAAAGCGAAAGCAUUUGCCAAAGAUGUUUUCAUUAAUCAAGAACGAAAGUCAGAGGUUCGAAGGCGAUCAGAUACCGCCCUAGUUCUGACCAUAAACGAUGCCAGCUAGCGAUCCGCCAAUGUUCCUCCGAUGACUUGGCGGGCAGCUUCCGGGAAACCAAAGCUUUUGGGUUCCGGGGGAAGUAUGGUUGCAAAGCUGAAACUUAAAGGAAUUGACGGAAGGGCACCACCAGGAGUGGAGCCUGCGGCUUAAUUUGACUCAACACGGGAAAACUCACCAGGCCCAGACACUGGAAGGAUUGACAGAUUGAUAGCUCUUUCUUGAUUCAGUGGGUGGUGGUGCAUGGCCGUUCUUAGUUGGUGGAGUGAUUUGUCUGGUUAAUUCCGAUAACGAACGAGACUCUAGCCUAUUAACUAGACGUUACACAUUACCGGUAUCUUGAAGGUUUACAUCUUUUGUUCAACUCAUUUUAUAUAAGGUGUGGAUUAAAAUUUUACUUUUUUACUUGUUGUAGUCUCCAUUAGUGGUUUCUACACUGGUAUUCUUGUAUCUAUUUUAAUCGCCCAUAUUUUAUUAUGAGCGCAAUUGUAUGUGGCUUUUACUACCGGCGUACAUAUAUAUCUUCUUAGAGGGACAGGCGGCUUCUAGCCGCAUGAGAUUGAGCAAUAACAGGUCUGUGAUGCCCUUAGAUGUUCUGGGCCGCACGCGCGCUACACUGAAGGAAUCAACGUGUUUUUUCCUUGUCCGAAAGGACCGGGUAACCCGUUGAAACUCCUUCGUGCUAGGGAUUGGGGCUUGCAAUUAUUCCCCAUGAACGAGGAAUUCCCAGUAAGCGUGAGUCAUAAGCUCGCGUUGAUUACGUCCCUGCCCUUUGUACACACCGCCCGUCGCUACUACCGAUUGAAUGAUUUAGUGAGGUCUUUGGACUGGUACUCGGUGAUGUUUUAUACAUUACCGAUGUCGCUAGGAAGAUGACCAAACUUGAUUAUUUAGAGGAANA
Molecule: ribosomal RNA, 2218 nt
Filed under: Brachinus hirsutus
Lineage: Eukaryota; Metazoa; Arthropoda; Insecta; Coleoptera; Carabidae
Description: SSU rRNA
Rfam family: Eukaryotic small subunit ribosomal RNA
Source: RNAcentral